GGGUUCAUAUUUAAACUAUUGGACCACUUCUAAUGAAUGAGAGUUUAAACUUUUUGUUGGGUUUAUAUUUAAACUAUUAUAUUAAGUUAUUCUACAAAGAUUUCUAAAAGUAAAAAGUGUAAGAAUGCAUUAUAAAGUGACAGGUGUCCAAGAACCCUACCCCCAUCACCCACCCCCAUUUUUUUUGUGUACCUUUGUAUUUGAUCCUAAACCUUAAGCUAUUGGACCACUUCUAAAUGAGUUUAAACUUUACUAACGGGUGUUCAACUAGUAAAACAGUAACUUAUGUUAAAAUGAAUUUAGUGUUCAAUGAGUUUAAAAUAAAUAAAAUAUUAAUGGAUUUAAAUGUUUAACAAAGUAUAUAGAUUUUUUUUAAAUAUAUAUAGUAUAUACACAUACUAAACCCAAACCUGUGAAUCUGCUUAGUGUCAUACUAAAAAUUCAUACCCCUUAAUUUUAUUACUAAAUCAUUCCAAAUCGGCAGUGAUAUGUUUCUAUGUGCUUAUGAAGUUUUUCUUGAAUAUUGUACUUGCCGACAAUAUUUUCAGAGGUGAAACUAUUACAUCUGACCUCAAAGUUCAAAUUAGUGAUCUCUUUAUUCCUAUAUUUAUUACUUGACUUUUACUUUCUGAAAAAAAAAAAAUGUAAAUGUACUACCCUCAAAACAUUGUUU
This 673-nucleotide long non-coding RNA is filed under the name Helianthus annuus (common sunflower). Its description in RNAcentral is "hypothetical non coding rna". The record is from RNAcentral. Lineage: Eukaryota; Viridiplantae; Streptophyta; Magnoliopsida; Asterales; Asteraceae.